This 254-nucleotide ribosomal RNA is filed under the name uncultured bacterium. RNAcentral's name for it is "partial 16S ribosomal RNA". It matches the Rfam family "Bacterial small subunit ribosomal RNA", at positions 524 to 776 of the family's 1533-position model. The record is from RNAcentral.
UACGGAGGGUGCGAGCGUUGUCCGGAAUCAUUGGGCGUAAAGGGCGCGUAGGUGGCCCGGUCAGUUCGUGGUGAAAGCGCGGGGCUCAACCCUGUGUCGGCCAUGAAUACUGCCGCGGCUGGAGCACUGUAGAGGCAGGCGGAAUUCCGGGUGUAGCGGUGGAAUGCGUAGAGAUCCGGAAGAACACCGGUGGCGAAGGCGGCCUGCUGGGCAGUUGCUGACACUGAGGCGCGACAGCGUGGGGAGCAAACAGG